Molecule: microRNA, 22 nt
Filed under: Haemonchus contortus (barber pole worm)
Lineage: Eukaryota; Metazoa; Nematoda; Chromadorea; Rhabditida; Trichostrongylidae
Description: hco-miR-5900
Source: miRBase by way of RNAcentral
AAUUCUAUCCAAGUGACUCUGC